GUUCAGCUGAUGAGUCCCGAAUAGGACGAAACGCGCGUUCUGGAU
Molecule: non-coding RNA, 45 nt
Filed under: Schistosoma mattheei
Lineage: Eukaryota; Metazoa; Platyhelminthes; Trematoda; Strigeidida; Schistosomatidae
Source: RNAcentral